UCUCAUGAGUGUGACCAUCUGGAGGUAAGAAGCACUUUUUGUUUUGUGAAAGAAAAGAAAGUGCUUCCUUUCAGAGGGAUUACUCUUUGAGA
Non-coding RNA from Pongo abelii (Sumatran orangutan), 92 nucleotides. NCBI's taxonomy places the organism in Eukaryota, Metazoa, Chordata, Mammalia, Primates, Hominidae. The record is from Rfam.